UAACGAGCGAGACUCUGGCCUACUAAAUAGUUGGCACAUUGCCACUGUGUGCACAACUUCUUAGAGGGAUUUUCGGUGUUCAGCCGCACGAAAUUGAGCAAUAACAGGUCUGUGAUGCCCUUAGAUGUCCGGGGCUGCACGCGCGCUACACUGGCAAAAUCAGCGUGCUUGUCCUCCCCCGAAAGGGGUUGGUAAACCGAUGAAAAUUUGCCGUGAUUGGGAUCGGACAUUGCAAUUAUUGUCCGUGAACGAGGAAUCCCUUGUAAGGGCGAGUCAUCAACUCGUCCUGAAUACGUCCCUGCCCUUUGUACACACCGCCCGUCGCUGCCCGGGACUGAGCCAUUUCGAGAAAACCGGGGAUGGUUGGCCUGACGGCUCUCGGGUCGUCUAGCCGAUGAGAACCGGCUUAAUCGCACUGGUUUGAACCGGGCAAAAGUCGUAACAAGGUAGCUGUAGGUGAACCUGCUGCUGGAUCAUUA
Molecule: ribosomal RNA, 479 nt
Filed under: Rotylenchulus reniformis
Lineage: Eukaryota; Metazoa; Nematoda; Chromadorea; Rhabditida; Hoplolaimidae
Description: SSU rRNA
Rfam family: Eukaryotic small subunit ribosomal RNA
Source: RNAcentral